RNAcentral lists this long non-coding RNA (226 nucleotides) under Dendronephthya gigantea. RNAcentral describes it as "uncharacterized LOC114542768". The record is from RNAcentral. Lineage: Eukaryota; Metazoa; Cnidaria; Anthozoa; Malacalcyonacea; Nephtheidae.
AGGCUUAUUAACUCGUGAAGAGUUUCAAAAGCCUGUUCCUGGUAAAUCCCUUCUGGAUGCAAGUCCUUUGAAAACUUUUUUGAGUUAAGACGAGGAUAAACUUAAUCAAUCCAUACUGUGAGCGGAUAGGGAAUCUGAUAAAAAAGCUGGCGAUAUUUUGUGCCUGACUCAACAUAUUUUUCACUGGAAGAAUUGAACACGCUUUGGCAACAAUAAGGUUUAAACG